AGGAGGUGAGUGCUCAUUAAUGCUAGCUAGUGGCUCCUUGGCAUACAGUAUGGAGGUGGAAAGAAAACAUGAGCUUCUGCAUGGCCCAGAAAGGCAACGAUGCUUCUUUCGUAUACCUGUUUAUUACAAUUGCAAGCUUUGGAUGAAAAGCACUUUGUCUUCAUGUGUGCCACUUCAUCAGCUAGCAAAGUGGAGUCAGGGAGCAAGUAUAUGGAGACCAAACACGGGUUAUUCUGCACUGCAUAGUUUUCCUGACCCGCUGUUCAUCAUUUUUCAUUUGAUUUGAAUCUAAGCUGUGAGGAAGAUGAACCUUUCACCUGCUGAAGAACAUCACUCUUGUGAAUGAGAAUCUAUAUUAAAAGAUGUUUAAAUUCCC
This is a long non-coding RNA of Oxyura jamaicensis (ruddy duck), 376 nucleotides long. RefSeq lists it as uncharacterized. The transcript is spliced from 3 exons. The record is from RefSeq and is a predicted model, not a curated record. NCBI's taxonomy places the organism in Eukaryota, Metazoa, Chordata, Aves, Anseriformes, Anatidae.